AGUCGACGGACUUACAUUGAAGCCUAGCGAUAUGUAAGUUAGUGGCGGACGGGUGAGUAACGCGUGGGUAACCUGCCUUGUACUGGGGGACAACAGUUGGAAACGACUGCUAAUACCGCAUAAGCGCACAGCUUCGCAUGAAGCAGUGUGAAAAACUCCGGUGGUACAAGAUGGACCCGCGUCUGAUUAGCUGGUUGGUGAGGUAACGGCCCACCAAGGCGACGAUCAGUAGCCGGCCUGAGAGGGUGAACGGCCACAUUGGGACUGAGACACGGCCCAAACUCCUACGGGAGGCAGCAGUGGGGAAUAUUGCACAAUGGGGGAAACCCUGAUGCAGCAACGCCGCGUGAGUGAAGAAGUAUUUCGGUAUGUAAAGCUCUAUCAGCAGGAAAGAAAAUGACGGUACCUGACUAAGAAGCCCCGGCUAACUACGUGCCAGCAGCCGCGGUAAUACGUAGGGGGCAAGCGUUAUCCGGAUUUACUGGGUGUAAAGGGAGUGUAGACGGUUUUGCAAGUCUGAAGUGAAAGCCCGGGGCUUAACCCCGGGACUGCUUUGGAAACUGUAGGACUAGAGUGCAGGAGAGGUAAGUGGAAUUCCUAGUGUAGCGGUGAAAUGCGUAGAUAUUAGGAGGAACACCAGUGGCGAAGGCGGCUUACUGGACUGUAACUGACGUUGAGGCUCGAAAGCGUGGGGAGCAAACAGGAUUAGAUACCCUAGUAGUCCACGCCGUAAACGAUGAUUACUAGGUGUUGGUGGGUAUGACCCAUCGGUGCCGCAGCAAACGCAAUAAGUAAUCCACCUGGGGG
Molecule: ribosomal RNA, 807 nt
Filed under: uncultured bacterium
Lineage: Bacteria
Description: bacterial SSU rRNA
Rfam family: Bacterial small subunit ribosomal RNA
Source: RNAcentral